This 446-nucleotide ribosomal RNA is filed under the name uncultured bacterium. Its description in RNAcentral is "bacterial SSU rRNA". It matches the Rfam family "Bacterial small subunit ribosomal RNA", at positions 29 to 507 of the family's 1533-position model. The record is from RNAcentral.
AACGAACGCUGGCGGCAGGCCUAACACAUGCAAGUCGAACGAGAAGCAGUCCUUCGGGAUUGUGGAAAGUGGCAGACGGGUGAGUAACGCGUGGGAAUCUACCCAGUGGUACGGAAUAACUCAGGGAAACUUGGGCUAAUACCGUAUGUGCCCGCAAGGGGAAAGAUUUAUCGCCAUUGGAUGAGCCCGCGUCUGAUUAGCUUGUUGGUGGGGUAACGGCCCACCAAGGCGACGAUCAGUAGCUGGGUCUGAGAGGAUGAUCAGCCACACUGGGACUGAGACACGGCCCAGACUCCUACGGGAGGCAGCAGUGGGGAAUAUUGGACAAUGGGCGCAAGCCUGAUCCAGCCAUGCCGCGUGAGUGAUGAAGGCCCUAGGGUUGUAAAGCUCUUUCGCACGCGAAGAUAAUGACGGUAGCGUGACAAGAAGCCCCGGCUAACUUCGUG